RNAcentral lists this ribosomal RNA (468 nucleotides) under uncultured bacterium. Its description in RNAcentral is "partial 16S ribosomal RNA". It matches the Rfam family "Bacterial small subunit ribosomal RNA", at positions 28 to 507 of the family's 1533-position model. The record is from RNAcentral.
GACGAACGCUGGCGGCGUGCUUAACACAUGCAAGUCGAACGGAAAGGCCCUGCUUUUGUGGGGUGCUCGAGUGGCGAACGGGUGAGUAACACGUGAGUAACCUGCCCUUGACUUUGGGAUAACUUCAGGAAACUGGGGCUAAUACCGGAUAGGAGCUCCCGCUGCAUGGUGGGGGUUGGAAAGUUUCGGCGGUUGGGGAUGGACUCGCGGCUUAUCAGCUUGUUGGUGGGGUAGUGGCUUACCAAGGCUUUGACGGGUAGCCGGCCUGAGAGGGUGACCGGCCACAUUGGGACUGAGAUACGGCCCAGACUCCUACGGGAGGCAGCAGUGGAGAAUAUUGCACAAUGGGCGGAAGCCUGAUGCAGCGACGCCGCGUGCGGGAUGACGGCCUUCGGGUUGUAAACCGCUUUCGCCUGUGACGAAGCGUGAGUGACGGUAAUGGGUAAAGAAGCACCGGCUAACUACGUG